UACAGAGGUCCCAAGCGUUGUUCGGAUUCAUUGGGCGUAAAGGGUGCGUAGGCGGCGCGGUAAGUCGGGUGUGAAAUCUCGGAGCUUAACUUCGAAACUGCAUUCGAUACUGCCGUGCUUGAGGACUGGAGAGGAGACUGGAAUUUACGGUGUAGCGGUGAAAUGCGUAGAUAUCGUAAGGAAGACCAGUGGCGAAGGCGGGUCUCUGGACAGUUCCUGACGCUGAGGCACGAAGGUCAGGGGAGCAAACGGG
Molecule: ribosomal RNA, 253 nt
Filed under: uncultured bacterium
Lineage: Bacteria
Description: partial 16S ribosomal RNA
Rfam family: Bacterial small subunit ribosomal RNA
Source: RNAcentral